Molecule: ribosomal RNA, 253 nt
Filed under: uncultured bacterium
Lineage: Bacteria
Description: partial 16S ribosomal RNA
Rfam family: Bacterial small subunit ribosomal RNA
Source: RNAcentral
UACGUAGGGGGCAAGCGUUGUCCGGAAUCAUUGGGCGUAAAGAGCGUGUAGGCGGCUUGGUAAGUCCGCUGUGAAAGUCCAGGGCUCAACCCUGGAAUGCCGGUGGAAACUGUCAAGCUUGAGUCCGGAAGAGGCGAGUGGAAUUCCUGGUGUAGCGGUGAAAUGCGCAGAUAUCAGGAGGAACACCAAUGGCGAAGGCAGCUCGCUGGGACGGUACUGACGCUGAGACGCGAAGGCGUGGGGAGCAAACAGG